RNAcentral lists this transfer RNA (85 nucleotides) under Methylobacterium nodulans ORS 2060. Its description in RNAcentral is "tRNA-Leu (CAA) (tRNA-Leu-CAA-1-1)". It matches the Rfam family "tRNA". From Rfam's summary of the family: Transfer RNA (tRNA) molecules are approximately 80 nucleotides in length. Their secondary structure includes four short double-helical elements and three loops (D, anti-codon, and T loops). Further hydrogen bonds mediate the characteristic L-shaped molecular structure. tRNAs have two regions of fundamental functional importance: the anti-codon, which is responsible for specific mRNA codon recognition, and the 3' end, to which the tRNAs corresponding amino acid is attached (by aminoacyl-tRNA synthetases). tRNAs cope with the degeneracy of the genetic code in two manners: having more than one tRNA (with a specific anti-codon) for a particular amino acid; and 'wobble' base-pairing, i.e. permitting non-standard base-pairing at the 3rd anti-codon position. Lineage: Bacteria; Pseudomonadati; Pseudomonadota; Alphaproteobacteria; Hyphomicrobiales; Methylobacteriaceae. The record is from RNAcentral.
GCCCGCAUGGCGGAACUGGUAGACGCGGACGACUCAAAAUCGUCAGCCGAAAGGCGUGGGGGUUCGAUUCCCUCUGCGGGCACCA